AGUCUUCUGAAUCCGUGCUGAGAUUUCGUUAGGCACCAGCCCACCAGUACUGAUGAAACUCCCAAAACAAGUAAAACG
This is a non-coding RNA of Schistosoma rodhaini, 78 nucleotides long. The record is from Rfam. Lineage: Eukaryota; Metazoa; Platyhelminthes; Trematoda; Strigeidida; Schistosomatidae.